UGAAGAAAAUUUCAACUGUGGUCUACAUGAGAGAUUAUAGUGGGUAGUAGUGGUUUGCACCCAUUUGAACACAAUUGCGAGUAGUCCAUCAAGUUCAGAAACUUCAUGUGACACUUCAGCUUCUAAUUGCAUCAAGCUGUUUUAGGUGGAGCAUCAGGUUAUUUAUUUUUCUGAUGUGGGAACUCAGUGCAAUAAAUUUUCCUCUGAGGAUGGCUUUCAUUGCAUCCCACAGUUUCCCGAAAUGUUAAAUGGCCUAUCUGGUUGCCUGAGUGUGCUGUCUGGCUGUAUCAUGGACCCAAAGCCAGAGAACGAGUUGAUUCCACCCUCUCAAGAAGCUGAUGCUCAGUCCUAUGACGGUGAUGCCUCAGAGACCAUACAACAACUGACAGAAAAGUAUGAAGCUAGAACCAACCUUAAUUGACCCAGGAUGUCCAAGAGAUGGUAACCAAAAAUAAAACCAAAGGUCUAAAUAGAUGAUAGAAGUGUGUGCUAAUUCCUAUGCCAAAAAUAUCGGUUAAUUAUAGGUAAGAUUUUGUCCUUUUCAAAUUCUUUUUACGAGAGAUCUCUGCUAAUUGACCUACUACAAAUCUGACUAUAUUCUGUUUAUAGUUAUAAAUUCUACAAUUGCAAAAAGUUAGUGUAAUUCAAUUUGGCUACCAUAUAUUUGAAUGCACUCUGAUUGGGUAAAAUGUUUGUCAGUUUGUCUGUGUACAUGUUUCUUCUGUCUGUUCUUCUGGUCUGUUAAGCAGUUGUUGGAAGUCAACUGAAUUAGUGAUUGUUCACACGUGCAGAGCCAAAAGCACAAGUGCCUGUACAGAAGUGCCCAGGUGUCACAGACCAUCUAAGAAAUGCCCUGAGAGCAUGGGGUGCUGGAGGUGAGAGGUGUUCCAACCUCAAGAACAUGGGGUAUAAGAAGCAAGCUAGUUCAGCAAAGAGGCAUGAAACAAGUGUAUAAAUUGGCCUUGGGAACUUAGAGAAUUCUUGUGGACACAAACAACUCUGCUUGUUUCUGGGUCUGUUAGAAUCUAUAUAGAUUGUCUGUCCAUGUUUGUCCACUUGUCCUUUCUGUAAACAGUUGUUCUUUUUUAUUUGAGCUCAACAAUUUUUUCUUCCUUUUUUUAAAUUUUUAGAUCAUCUCAUCAAAAUAUCAUUGGAGUAAUAGACUUAAAAAGCAUGUUUCUGCUCAGUUCAAAUGAUGCUACAAUUGGUUGGAAAAUGUAAGGUACAUUGUUGUUUAUUAUAACUUGAGAAUCUCUCAUUGUUCAACAGUAUGUUAAAUGUUAUGAUUGGAUUUUUCUUAAGUCAUCAAAAAAAUUAUUAAGAUGAUUAAACAAAAUCCCUUGGGGGGGGAGAGAUUAUUGGACAGGACUUCAAUUGAUGAAUAAGAAAACGGCCACCUAGUAACAUUUAACCAGCUCUUGUUCAUUGAUUAUUGAUCAUUGAUAGCCUUAUUAGAGAUACCCCAAUUAAAGUUAUAAAAAUAUAUUCUUGUAAUAUGUUCACAUUGUUCAUCAGAAAAAAUAAUAAUACAAUAAGGCUUCUGAUCUAAAGGUGCCCAUACAAAACUUUUCAUGUGGCUAUGACAGAUUGCUAUUAACCUUAUAGUGUAUCAUUGUAUUCAUGAUUCAAGAUGUACAGGUUUCUCAAAAUAUAAAACAGGGAUUGUUUAUAGUGAUAGAAUAUUGUUUCAGAUUCAGACUUCUGCCUAUAAUAAAAACUUACAAGAUGUACAUCCUACUAAUGGUAACCAAGUUAGGUAAAAGGUUAUGUAUUAGAUAGAGAUGAUGGACUAAAAGGAGAUAUUGGGUGUCAAAUGAAAAUUCAUACAUGUUAUAAAAUGUCAUAAGAUUGCCAUACUAUAAUGUUGUAUAUGGGUUGGAUUUCUAAUUUUCUGUGUAAAAUAUGUAACUGUUAACAUUCGAUAGGUAUUCAAAUGUUAAAACAUCCAUGGUUGUUAAAAAAUAAAGUUCCAUUUUAUAUUCUAAGAUGCUUGAUAUUUAGAUAAGAUAGUAAUGUUAAGCUUACUGCCUCUACUACAUUGUUAUCAAUCUUUUCUUCUGGAUAUGCAACAGCUGAGGUUUAGAGAUAAAAAAUAAGACAGACAGAAAGACUAAGACGACAGCUAAUAUUUUGGCCCUAGCUUCCUGAGAUCAAUGAGAGUCCAGGGCAUUACAGAAUCUCUGCUGCAAUGUCCUGUACUCAGUGAGUCCCUAGUCUUCUGAUCAAGAAGAUUAUGAUACCACAGAGGAAAAUGAUCACCAGUGUGUGGAGUGCCUAUGGAGAAUCACCAGGAAAAAAGGUCUCCCAAGCUUUCACAGAAAGCAGCUUGAUCAAACAGUGGCCAUCAUUCAUCCAGACAGAAAGCUGAGAGAUGCUAUGCAUGGUACCAAGGCAUUUACUGUAGAGGAGACUUAACUGACCUUGGUAGAUAACAAAAACUGGUUGUUUUUAAAACAGGUCUCCUUAAGUUGGUCUUUAUGUCCUGCAGAAAACAUACAAUUACUAGAGAUAUAUAAAACAAUGCUAAAGUAGUACGCUAUAAAAGAAACUCAAGUCACCUAAUACCUCCUGACAAUUGCCAGCUACACUGAUAGCUGUCUAUUGUUAUGGAUUAAUGGACUGUACAGGGUUUCAAUUGCAGAAUGCAGGAACUUAAAAUCCUGGGACUGCACUUAAAAUGAGAACUGUUCAACAAUGAAGAGAUCUUCUACACAGUUCUUCAAAUACAACUCCUCCAGCUUCGACUGACUCCUCAUCCUGUUCUACAACAAAACAAAAAAGAGGGAUAUGCAGGGAGCUGUUGAAGCCAGAUUGAUCACAUGUGUGGGGCUAAAGCGAGGCCAUCCCAGAAAACACAGAAAGCCUCAAACAAGCUAUAUCAACAAGCUGUUGCAACACCAAGAAGGCAAGGGGCCCAGGCCAGCCAGGAAAACAAGUUUCUAGGCAGUGGGCUUGAAGCUGACAUUUUCUUUGAGUGUAUAAAUAAACAUGCUACAGUGGUUGAGCAGUUCCUUUGCUCCCAAGAGGAGGCUAAGUCCUCCACUGAGCUCCCUCCACCCAAAAAAGACUUGCACAGAAUCCAUUCUUACUUAACGAUAUUUUGGGGAAAAAAAAAACUAGUGUGAUAUUCUACCUAGUGUUUACAUGACUAAGAUGCUAAGCAAAUUAGGAAAUAAGUAACUUUCUGUUACCAUACUUAAAGGUGGUAUUCAUUAAGGACAGGCUAAGCUUGGAUCUUUUAGAAGAUGAGGAUCAUGUUCCAAUAAAAGGGAGAUGACAGCUUUUGAAUCCAUAUAUAAAAUAGCUACCUCUCAUCUGGCACAUUCAUUUCACUAUAUUUUGAGAUGCUAACAUCCUCCUUCACUAUAGACAAACCGUAAUUUCUGAGACUACCAGACAUGACAGAGCUUAAUUGUUAUUAUGUCUGCAAUUCAGAAAUAU
Molecule: long non-coding RNA, 3441 nt
Organism: Cavia porcellus (domestic guinea pig)
Lineage: Eukaryota; Metazoa; Chordata; Mammalia; Rodentia; Caviidae
Exons: 3
Source: RefSeq, a predicted model, not a curated record